CACCUAAAGCAAUUACGCGUUUUUAACUUUGCGAGUCCAUGGAAAUUUGCUAAAUAACAUGCCUCGGUUUCUAAGGAUUAAAAAUAACUCAAUGAGGGCCGUGCGUUUUGGGAUUUUAUUUAGCAUGACACGCCUCAAAUUAUUCCAAAAGAUUAUACUCAACUAAAGCUAUUAAAGGUCCGCCACUUCUCAAUUCAACAAUUACUAAUGUUCAUCCAAAAUCCAAUUGUAGCUUUACUUUCCCUAGAAGAUCAAGCAUAAAAAGACUUCUUAAAGAAAAAAUUCUUUUGGCCCAGAAAACUCAAAUCGUUAUUUUUCAAAUAUCACUUCUUUUGUCAUCAAAUAUUUUUUACCUUCUUUUCAAGUUGUUACACAAACAGAAGAAAAUUAAUUAUUCAAAAUCUCAUGUCCAACCUCAGAUAACUAAUUGUGAGCUCAUUUACCAAAUUAACUUGUUUUAAGAUACAAAUUCUACACAUAAAAAUUUCAAACAGAGGAAGAAACACCUUCACCAAAUGUUGAAUCACUAAUAGGAUAAUACAAAAAUAAGGGUAAUUAAGGAAUCAGACCUUUAGUGAACUCAAAAACGUUUCUCCAAUUGAUUGAAUACAGAAAGCUCAUUGAAUAGAGUUGUACAAAGAGACAAAUGCCGAACAAAAGCUUCGAGCUGAUGCAUCCAACAAACCGGACAAAGCGGCAGCAAAAAUUAGCAUUGAGCAAGCUCAAACAACAGGAACCUUCAGCCGAAGAUAUCCAACAAACAGGACAAAGCGGCGGCAAAAAUUAGCAUCGAGCAAGCUCAAACAACAGGAACCUUCAGCCGAAGAGACUCCUACGUCGACCUCGGCGAACCCGGAACUCGCCGGCACCGGAAAGCUCGAACUUAAACGACUUCAACAAAAACCCACCUUCUCUGAUUGACGACUAGCAGUCAAUUAACCCAGUCAAUUCGCCAAGAGUGCUUGACAUUUUUUUUUAUUUCCUUAACUGAUCACUAAAAUAGGAAAGCUUAACGUCUAGAUGAACUUUGGUUGUUUCUGAAUAUUGAGUUAGAAUACAACAAGCCUGGUGAGAUCGGAAAUCGAAAUCGAGAAGUAAAAAUCAAAUCUGACUUCCCGAGAUUUUUAAAAUCGAAAUGCUAAAACACCACAGCCAAAGUAAAAACCAUUUCCUGAUUUUGUCGCCAACAGUGCUUUGUAGGUCUCUUAGCUGAUUUUCAUUUUUGAGAAGAUAGGUCCUUUAUUUUGGUUUUCUUUUUUCUUUGAUCUCUUCUGAGAAGUGGGGGAUCAGUGAUUCUUUGUGUGCGUCUUUUUUUCGUUGGAAAGAGAAUGGUUUUUAUAGCGUGUGUGGAAUAAGGUGUUAUGUGGGAGAAUUUUAUUUGGAAAGAAGAUGUUAUGUGAGAUAAUAUUUUGGGGGAGG
RNAcentral lists this long non-coding RNA (1419 nucleotides) under Nicotiana benthamiana. Its description in RNAcentral is "long non-coding RNA (NBEN_LNC037366)". The record is from RNAcentral. Lineage: Eukaryota; Viridiplantae; Streptophyta; Magnoliopsida; Solanales; Solanaceae.